GAUCCUGGCUCAGGAUGAACGCUAGCGGCAGGCUUAACACAUGCAAGUCGAGAGGCAGCAUGGUCUUAGCUUGCUAAGGCUGAUGGCGACCGGCGCACGGGUGAGUAACACGUAUCCAACCUGCCGUCUACUCUUGGCCAGCCUUCUGAAAGGAAGAUUAAUCCAGGAUGGGAUCAUGAGUUCACAUGUCCGCAUGAUUAAAGGUAUUUUCCGGUAGACGAUGGGGA
This 227-nucleotide ribosomal RNA is filed under the name uncultured bacterium. Its description in RNAcentral is "partial 16S ribosomal RNA". It matches the Rfam family "Bacterial small subunit ribosomal RNA", at positions 15 to 231 of the family's 1533-position model. The record is from RNAcentral.